Gallus gallus (chicken) is the source of this 1728-nucleotide long non-coding RNA. Lineage: Eukaryota; Metazoa; Chordata; Aves; Galliformes; Phasianidae. The record is from Ensembl.
CCGACUUACUGCGCGCCCGGCGCGGGGCCGGGGGGAGAGGGGGCACCGGGGAGCGGGGCUGCCCGCACGGCCUCAUUCCCGCAGACGAAUCCCUGCUAACACUUCCCCGAUUACUGCUUCCAGGAACGAAAGCAUCUGCACUUGUACGCUCUUAAACUAAUUUAUGGUGGGAAUUAUAUUUUGGCUUGUCAACUCUCAAGCCAUAAAACAAAGUUUAUUGGAAUCACGUGCUCCUAAAUAGCCACUCAGGACCUAUCUCUGCGGAACCAUAAAUAACCUUCGGCUUUAAACUUUUAUUCGCUAAAUAAAGGUCCGCCGGCUGCUCUGUAAGCGGGUGCGGGGGCGGGCGGCUGGUCAGCUACGCGACGGCUUUGGGGGGAGCAUCCCACAGGGCGGUGGGUGUGUUCCCUGUCCCUUGGGCGGGGGGCGGUACCCCUCUCUGAGUGCCACCUCUGGAGGCACAGAGGAGCGCGUCGGGACAAAACGCGGAGUUAGCGCGGGGCGGGGGUCCGUCCCCCCCCCGGGUGUUUGUGGCAUUUCAGUCAGACGGCCCUGGAAAGUGGUUUUGGCUCAUUCCGUUCGAGCUGUGCCGCGGCUGCGGGCUCGCCAGGCACCGAGGGGCGUCUGCGAGCGACCAAACUGCUGGGAGCAGCGGGCACCGGGCUUUGGGAGAGAGGGAAGUGUGAAGGCUGCCGCAAUUAGAUCUUUGAGGACUGGAAGUUUGAGGAGAGCUAUAAAACAAUAAAACAGCUCUGGUGUGAAGGGAGCAGGGUGUGAGUUAGCAAAUGAGAAUUUCAAGGAGCCCGAGCACAGGAAGUCAAACGUCCCUGGAGUCUCACGGCCGCGUCCGCACAAAGAACCCGGGCAAUAGCUCUCUAUCACGGCUCCGAAGCGGCCCAAAGCUGCUGAAGCCCGGGCCGGGGAGGGUGGUCCUUCUCGAGGGGGAACGGGCCACGGUCGCCCCGUCGGGGUCCGGCAGCGCACGGCCGCGGACAGCAGCACAUCUCUCCGACUCUGCCUCUGGGGCUCUGCUCUGCACAGCCCGGCCCGCGGCGGGGGGCACCGGCCGGCACCUGCCUAACGCCGGGGCGGGGUCUCCCCUGCUCUGCGCUCGCUGGGCCGAGGAAGUGAUCCCAGGCACCGAAGUCUGAGUUUAAUUAAAACGGGCCCUUAGUUCUCGCCCGACUCCUUAGCUUGUUCGACUCUUGUUCGAUGCCCUCAGCCACUCGGCAUCACCCACCGGCUCCCGGCCCGUGCCUCCCGCCCGCUGCGAGGGCAGGUGGCUGCUACCCUGGCUGCUCAGAGGGCCGGCAGAGCUCGUGAGGUGGAGAUGCGAAAGUUGACUUUGAAGCCCUGGCCAGUUCCUUCCCCGGGCUUGUAUGGCAGCUCCCGUUUUCGGGGCUGAUGAUCUGGAGACGGAUAAAGUGUGGAAUGAAGAAACCCCAUAAUAAUUGCUUUCCUUCCGGCAACGGUUGCGAUAAAAGGGUUGGGGAAAUGGAAUCGCACGGGUCGCCCUUGCUGCUCCGUGCCAGACGCUACGACAGCAUCCUGCCCCCAGGACCGCGCCGCCACAAAAUGACAGGCUCCGACUCUCUCUUUGAACAACUGCGCGCCUUGAUAGCGUCCAACGCAUUAUCGCUCCGUGCUUUUAUCGCUGCUUCGACUUUCCGCCCAUUCCCCGUGCAGGAUGUGGGCACGCAGAGGCCCGGGGCGGCCCCGGCGGCAGCG